CCGGGCGUAGCGCAGAGGCAGGCGCACCGGUCUCUUAAUCCGGUCACGCCGGUUCGAAUCCGGCCGCCUGGG
This 72-nucleotide transfer RNA is filed under the name Actinospica durhamensis. RNAcentral describes it as "tRNA-Lys". It matches the Rfam family "tRNA". From Rfam's summary of the family: Transfer RNA (tRNA) molecules are approximately 80 nucleotides in length. Their secondary structure includes four short double-helical elements and three loops (D, anti-codon, and T loops). The record is from RNAcentral. Lineage: Bacteria; Bacillati; Actinomycetota; Actinomycetes; Catenulisporales; Actinospicaceae.